Molecule: ribosomal RNA, 496 nt
Filed under: Pirinectes sp. BOLD:ADL5270
Lineage: Eukaryota; Metazoa; Arthropoda; Malacostraca; Isopoda; Munnopsidae
Description: partial 16S ribosomal RNA
Rfam family: Archaeal large subunit ribosomal RNA
Source: RNAcentral
CUCUUUUCAAAAAUUUAUGGAAAGUAGCCUCUGCUCAGUGUGAUUUUAUGAAUAGCCGCAGUAUUUUGACUGUGCUAAGGUAGCAUAAUAAAUUGGUUCUUAUAAUAGAAGUCUGGAAUGAAUGAGUUGACAACAUUAGAGCUUUCUUAUAUUAAUCUAAAGAAAUUGAUUUCUUCAUAAAAAAGUGAAGCUCUUUAAAAAGACGAUAAGACCCUAUAAAGCUUUACUUUUUAUUUUUUAAAUUCAUCAGGAUAUAAAAAUUUAAGGAAGAAAAGUUAAGCUGGGGCGGCAGCUAUUACUCGAUAGAAGAUUUAACAAAUAAUGUUUGGUUUAAAAGAUCUUAAGAAAAAGAUAGAACAAGCUACUUUAGGGAUAACAGCACAAUUUUUUCUUAGAGAUCUUAUUAAUGGAAAAGACUUGUGACCUCGAUGUUGAAUUGAGGGGCUUUUUUCGAGCAGGCACGAAAGAAAGGGGUCUGUUCGACCUUUAAUUCCUC